GUCAGGGGGUCAUACCAAAAGUGGGGAACGCGCGCCGGAGAACUACGUGACGCGAGGCUUGAAUAAAGUGACGGCCUAACCUGGCCAAACCCUCCCCUAACCCGGACGACGCUGGCCAAUUGUGUGACGCCCCGUGGGACUCCCGAUCACAGCCGGUUGUGAUACAGCUCGGGAUCGAACCAGGAAUCUCGGGUGGAAAUUUGUAGGCAACACGUGCCAGGGAGUGACACCACUACAGUAAGGAUGGAAGAAAAUCCUGCUCUCCAGGAGGGUUGGCCAGCUCUGAUCUGUUUCCCAAGUGCUGAGUGUUUGAAAAUGUUCUUCUUAUAACAAUUAAUUUCUCAAAAUCACCCAAACUUCAAGAAAAAUCGAAUGAAUAUCAAUCAUUCUGGUGGUUUAUGCCUACCAGUUGAAGAUCCUUGCCAUCUUACUCUACGUAGACAAAAUAUGAUGCAUUUAUGAGUUGUGUCCCCCUACCAUCUCUGCCAAGCAUGUUCACAAAACUAAAAUGUCAAAUAUAAUAUUUGAGUCCUGGAGCAUUUUAUCCAAUGCUUAUUUGAAAAAUGCAUAGCUUCAUAUGAUUCAUUUUCAAAUACACAAGUAGGCAUAUCAUAUUUCAAAUACACAAGUAGGCAUAUCAUAUUUCAAAUACACAUGUAGGCAUAUCAUAUUUCAAAUACACAAGUAGGCAUAUCAUAUUUCAAAUACACAAGUAGGCAUAUCAUAUUUCAAAUACACAAGUAGACAUAUCAUAUUUCAAAUACACAAGUAGACAUAUCAUAUUUCAAAUAUGGAAUUACACUGUCAAAAUUGUGAAGAAGCUAAAUAAUAAAAUAAAUUUAGGAAAGAAUAAUUACCCUAUAUUUUAACCCAAUGUUAAGAAUGAGAAUUGUCCAACUGAUCAGGUAAAUAAAGUAAAUAGAUAAUAAAAUAUCCUGAUGACUAGACUACAUCCUAAACAAUAUAUUUGUCUAUUUAUUUUCCAACCUCUAGAAUCAAACGUACACUUGGGUUCACUUCACAAUCUGUUGGGACAUAAUUAUUUUCAUAGUCACAAAUCAGGUCACCCUGCCAAACUUCCCUGCUAAAACAUACUGUAGGUCUGUUUGCUGCCUUUUCAUUGUCACAGUCUAAAAGCCCAUCUCGAAACGAGGGGACUAAUGUAAAUGUGUAUUAAAUCGACUUUAGUACAUGCUGUCAAAAGGCUGCAUUCUGCAAUAGGGACGGAAGUUACAGCAACCUCAUUUUGUUGACAACAUUGUACAUAAAACAGCACUGGCGUGCUGCUCUUUUUGCAGUUUUAUAAACUCAGCAGAGAACGUUUUCAUUGUCUCCAUUAAACGCCACUCCAAUCGUGAGGGGCGUUUCUUUAAAACAUACAUCCAAUCCCCAUGAGCCCUCACAUAAUUUGACCAAUCAUAUGCUUUAAUGUGCCGCGGUUCACAGUGCAGUGGCAAAACAGGACAAAAAUGAUAAGAGGUUCCACUCGUGAUUUUAAAGGAAAGGUUCACCCAUUUUUAUGUUACAUUGUUUUUGUGCAUCUCUGAGGGAUGUUCUAUCCCUGUGUCAUUUAAUGGUUUGAAGUGUGGUUGAGUUUCCCAUGUCAAUAAAGCCCCUUGAAUUGAUAUUAGAAAGAAGAUAUGAAACCAAUGAAGGAUUUAUGUAACGCCACACCCAGUAGACUGUCGACCGCGUUCACGUUGUCAUGCUGCGUCACGUGAUUGUUAAACCUAUCGUCACGCAAUCCCUUCUCAAAUCAGUGUCUAUGUCGAGAAAUGUGCCUCUUUUCUAGAAAGUACGUAAUUUUGAGAUUUCAAAGCAAUACGAUAUUACAAGGAGCAAGUUAAUUAUCUCACAUCUCGGAAAAUAUGUGUAAUCUUGUACUUGUUGACGAAAUUCGUGCUCAUCUUGGGUUUUGAGCUAGCGCCCAAUAGACUCCCAUUCAAUCUUUGCAGGACCGCUCCUUGUCUCGAAUCGCCCAGAAUGCUCCGCGCGGGCCAUCAACGUUUCC
Long non-coding RNA from Oncorhynchus keta (chum salmon), 2011 nucleotides. RefSeq lists it as uncharacterized. NCBI's taxonomy places the organism in Eukaryota, Metazoa, Chordata, Actinopteri, Salmoniformes, Salmonidae. The transcript has 3 exons. The record is from RefSeq and is a predicted model, not a curated record.